This is a long non-coding RNA of Chinchilla lanigera (long-tailed chinchilla), 1844 nucleotides long. RefSeq lists it as uncharacterized. NCBI's taxonomy places the organism in Eukaryota, Metazoa, Chordata, Mammalia, Rodentia, Chinchillidae. The record is from RefSeq and is a predicted model, not a curated record. The transcript has 2 exons.
UCCAGGGACGCAGGCUCCUCUCCAAGAGCUGCCACAGAGCUCUCUGCCCCCGUGUGCCCCUUGGCAGUCUUCGGAGUCAUUUUCCUUCAGUGGGCAUCAGCACAGCUCAGUAGUGACCAGCCAACAUCCUGCCUCUGUGGGCAUCACCUCCAUUAUUUUGUGCUUCCAUGGGGCUCUUCUCCUUUGACCUCCCCAAGUCAUCACCAGUGAAACUGCUAACAGCGCAGCCUCCGUGUUGUCCUGGGGACUGUCCAUGCCUGCCCCAUGACCAGGAUGUGACUUACUUGCCUCCUAUGCAAAGGUGAGCCACUCCCAAUCCUCUCCCCGAUGCCGGUUUUCUCAGACCUCUUCCUCCAUUUCUGGCGCUGUUCCAGGACUUCUGGGGAGCAGAUGCCAAGACCUAGCACAGAGGGUUUUAAUAGGGGAACGCCCUGUGUGAGAAAAAGCCAGGAGGUGUCCCUAAGGCUGGGAAAGUGUGCACACAUGGUGCAGGUCUCAGCCCGAGCCCAGGAAAGCAGAAAGGUGGCGUGGUAGCCAUGCCAUCUGAGAAAAGCCUGGCAUGGCCUCCAGGGAAUCCUUCCACCAACGUUUCUCAUCAGAGGACUGUCGGGUGUGCCAAGGACAAGCCUGCAGAGAUUGCAGUCCUGGGGACCAGCCCAAAGCUUUGGGGUAAAUGCAGCCCUGGAUAUCAGCUCUCAGUUGCUGGAUCUUCGGACAGUUCCUCUCCCUACAGCAAGCUCAAAAAGCAGUAACUGAAUGAAGGCUGUUGGCAAUCGUGACUGUAUUGAAACUGAAAGCUCCUGUUUUAAAAAGAUGCCACUGAGAAGGUAGAAACGGGAGCCUCGGAGUGGGGAGUUUUCUGCAAAGCAGAGAGCUCUCAGGAUGUAUAUCAGCUGAAUGAGGAACACCUACAAAGGCAAAGAAGCUGCAGUUCAGGAGGAAAGAAAUGGUCAAGGUACUAAAACGGCGUUUCACAAAAGGGGACAUUCAAAUGGCCAGUCAAUACAUGAAAAAGGCACUCAGCCUCAUUUCCCAGGAGAGAAGCGCAAAUGCCUCCAGGCAUGCAGCAGAGGCUAAAGUGAAAAAGACAGGUACCAGGCAGUGCAGGGAGGGCGUGGGACUGCAGGGACACAGGCUUGCUGCCAGUGGCAGAGGCACAAGCACCUUGGAAAACUGGGAAUUUCUAUUGGAGCAGAUCAUCUGGGAAAUUCACAACCCAGCUGCCCCUCUCCUGAAGAUGUGCAGGAGAGAGAGGGGAUGCCCAGGUGCCUAGGACAUGCAGAGUGCUGGUCCCCAGCAGUUAGUCUUGAAUGCCCAAAUGGAAAACACCCACAUCUGCACAUCUAUUCGCACAAGUGGAAUAACGGUCAGCAGUGAGGAUUCAUGGGAGUUGGCUCCACCCAACACCACCCUUGAAUCACAGUCAAUAAAAGGUGCUGGGCACAAACAAUCACAUGCUGAUUGCUUCCAUUUAUAAACAGUUCCAAGCACAAGAACUGGCUUAAAAGAUGAUGGUGCUAAGGGAUGAGUGCUUAGGUUGUAAGAACACAUGUAAAGGGCUGGAAUUGCUUGCCAGAUGUUGAUCAAGGCAGUGAGACGAGGUGGUCCUUUUCCCUGUUUUGUGAUGAUUGCUUUGUGAAAAUGUACCCAGCUGUGCAUUGCCUUAAAUUUUAUUUUUAAUUGACUUCUGUGCUACAUGUUCUAUUCCUUUGUGUUAUAGUUCACAUUUCAGAAGUUUUUGUUUAAAGAAGUAUUUUCUUUCCUUCAGGUUAUGAAUGUUUCAUUGUUUUUGACGGAAAGUCACCCCUGUCUUGCUGCUUUGAAAAUAAUUGGGUUUUUCUCUG